Megalobrama amblycephala (Wuchang bream) is the source of this 678-nucleotide long non-coding RNA. RefSeq lists it as uncharacterized. The record is from RefSeq and is a predicted model, not a curated record. Lineage: Eukaryota; Metazoa; Chordata; Actinopteri; Cypriniformes; Xenocyprididae. The transcript has 3 exons.
UUUAUCUUGGCAUACACUGUAAUGAAUUGCUGUAAAAAUUACAGCAAUAUUUUACAGCCGAUGGCUGUAUUUUAAUAAUACAGCAUAUUGCUGUAAAUUGCAAUGAAUUCCGGGGGCGUGGCGGUUUGAAUCAAAUUUACAGAAUAUUGCUGUAAAUUUCAAAUAUACAGAGGCAUUGUGGGAUCUCCAACGGUCAAGAUUCGAGUAGCAGCAAGAGGAGUGAUUUACAACUGUGGUAUUUAUCUGGAGAGAGGAACAAAGACGAAAGGAAAAGUGCCAUCUAAAACAACAGGCAGACUGUUCAGAAGAAACGGGUUGCGUUCAACCUACAUGUGGACACUCUUCUGUGCAAAGUGAUAGAUUUUCAGUGGAAUUUCUGAAAUCCUAUCUUUGAAUCCUGGGAUGGAACAUCAUCUGGAGCAGAAUUGUUCUUUUUUGAUCGCAAGUUUGUUGGACUUGUUGUUUGGCCAUGUUGGUAUGUUCAUGAAGUGAUAAAAGUGAUGUGGGUUUUAAGAAAUGUUUUUAUAUGACCCUGUUGGUCAAGUUAUAGUUAUAAUUGUAUUUCUUUGUGUGAAGGGCCAUGAUGGCCAAUAAGUAAUUUAAAAACAUUUUCAUGACAAAAUUUUGUCCCUUUAAAAAAUAAAAUGAUUUUCUAAAUAAAAAAUAAAUUCAAAAUAA